GUUGACCGUUCUGUAAAUGAUGGUACUGGUCCAAAUAUAUACAAAAUAAACGGGCAGGUUUGUCAUCGAAUGGGAUCUCUUAUGCCUAAGGAAGGAAAUACCCCUAAGUAUGCCGAACUCUAUAUAUAUGAUACCCAAAAUGAGGUGCAAAACAGGAUUCAGGCUUUAGAAAAGGGUGAAAAGAGCGAUGGUGGUUUAGAUGAAUCCAUUGUUGAAGGCUUGAUGCAUAUGCUUGAUACACACAACUCUUAUGUCAAAACGUUUAGAUCAGCUAGAGAAAUACUAGCAGCUAAUAGGCAUACCGAGAUAGCCAUUCGUUUAGUUGCCCCUGGAGAAUCUGAUGGCCCACAAUUUAGCCUUCCUACAACUGAUGAGCUAGCGUCUUUAAUGUUUGGUGAGUUCACGGUGGAGGCUUCUUAUCGUGACAUAAUAAUACACGGUAGAGAUGACAAUCUGCAUCAAAUAUCUUCUUUGCAAACUUCAUAUAUGCCUUUGCAGUAUCCUCUUCUCUUCCCCUAUGCAGAACGUGGGCUUCAGCUCGGGCUUAUAUAUUGGUUAGACCCUUUAGAUACUAGCAAAAGAACCAGGCUCACUGUGCAGGACUACUAUUCCUAUUGUCUCCACUAUAGACCAGAGCAGCAUAAUCCAUACCUUUGUUGUGGUUUGCUUUCCUCACAGGCCAUUGUAGAUGCACGCGCUUGCAUAGACGAGUGGAGGCUACAUUUCAUCAUGAAGGCUAAUAAUGAUCUUAGAGCAUAG
This 759-nucleotide ribosomal RNA is filed under the name Triticum aestivum (bread wheat). RNAcentral's name for it is "partial small subunit ribosomal RNA". Lineage: Eukaryota; Viridiplantae; Streptophyta; Magnoliopsida; Poales; Poaceae. The record is from RNAcentral.